Molecule: ribosomal RNA, 468 nt
Filed under: uncultured bacterium
Lineage: Bacteria
Description: partial 16S ribosomal RNA
Rfam family: Bacterial small subunit ribosomal RNA
Source: RNAcentral
GACGAACGCUGGCGGCGUGCUUAACACAUGCAAGUCGAACGGAAAGGCCCUGCUUUUGUGGGGUGCUCGAGUGGCGAACGGGUGAGUAACACGUGAGUAACCUGCCCUUGACUUUGGGAUAACUUCAGGAAACUGGGGCUAAUACCGGAUAGGAGCUCCUGCUGCAUGGUGGGGGUUGGAAAGUUUCGGCGGUUGGGGAUGGACUCGCGGCUUAUCAGCUUGUUGGUGGGGUAGUGGCUGACCAAGGCUUUGACGGGUCGCCGGCCUGAGAGGGUGACCGGCCACAUUGGGACUGAGAUACGGCCCAGACUCCUACGGGAGGCAGCAGUGGGGAAUAUUGCACAGUGGGCGGAAGCCUGAUGCAGCAACGCCGCGUGCGGGAUGACGGCCUUCGGGUUGUAAACCGCUUUCGCCUGUGACGAAGCGUGAGUGACGGUAAUGGGUAAAGAAGCACCGGCUAACUACGUG